This 557-nucleotide ribosomal RNA is filed under the name Bacillus pumilus. Its description in RNAcentral is "bacterial SSU rRNA". It matches the Rfam family "Bacterial small subunit ribosomal RNA", at positions 82 to 629 of the family's 1533-position model. The record is from RNAcentral. Lineage: Bacteria; Bacillati; Bacillota; Bacilli; Caryophanales; Bacillaceae.
CCCAGAGGCAGCAGCGGCGGAGGGUGAGUACACGUGGGUAACCUGCCUGUAAGACUGGGAUAACUCCGGGAAACCGGAGCUAAUACCGGAUAGUUCCUUGAACCGCAUGGUUCAAGGAUGAAAGACGGUUUCGGCUGUCACUUACAGAUGGACCCGCGGCGCAUUAGCUAGUUGGUGAGGUAACGGCUCACCAAGGCGACGAUGCGUAGCCGACCUGAGAGGGUGAUCGGCCACACUGGGACUGAGACACGGCCCAGACUCCUACGGGAGGCAGCAGUAGGGAAUCUUCCGCAAUGGACGAAAGUCUGACGGAGCAACGCCGCGUGAGUGAUGAAGGUUUUCGGAUCGUAAAGCUCUGUUGUUAGGGAAGAACAAGUGCAAGAGUAACUGCUUGCACCUUGACGGUACCUAACCAGAAAGCCACGGCUAACUACGUGCCAGCAGCCGCGGUAAUACGUAGGUGGCAAGCGUUGUCCGGAAUUAUUGGGCGUAAAGGGCUCGCAGGCGGUUUCUUAAGUCUGAUGUGAAAGCCCCCGGCUCAACCGGGGAGGGUCUGG